GGAGAGUUCGCCUAGUGGUCUAUGGCGCUGCUCUGGAAAGGCAGUUGGGGAAACCCUCGUGAGUUCGAAUCUCACACUCUCCGCCA
RNAcentral lists this transfer RNA (86 nucleotides) under Candidatus Dojkabacteria bacterium. Its description in RNAcentral is "tRNA-Ser". It matches the Rfam family "tRNA". From Rfam's summary of the family: Transfer RNA (tRNA) molecules are approximately 80 nucleotides in length. Their secondary structure includes four short double-helical elements and three loops (D, anti-codon, and T loops). The record is from RNAcentral.